Molecule: ribosomal RNA, 784 nt
Filed under: uncultured bacterium
Lineage: Bacteria
Description: SSU rRNA
Rfam family: Bacterial small subunit ribosomal RNA
Source: RNAcentral
CACAGUGUAGCAAUACAUGGGUGGCGACCGGCAAACGGGUGCGGAACACGUACGCAACCUUCCUUCAGGCGGGGAAUAGCCCAGAGAAAUUUGGAUUAAUACCCCAUAAUAUUUUGAGAUGGCAUCAUCUUAUUAUUAAAGCUACGGCACCUGGAGAUGGGCGUGCGGCUGAUUAGGUAGUUGGCGGGGUAAUGGCCCACCAAGCCUACGAUCAGUAGCUGAUGUGAGAGCAUGAUCAGCCACACGGGCACUGAGACACGGGCCCGACUCCUACGGGAGGCAGCAGUAAGGAAUAUUGGUCAAUGGACGCAAGUCUGAACCAGCCAUGCCGCGUGGAGGAUGAAGGUCCUCUGGAUUGUAAACUUCUUUUAUCUGGGACGAAAAAAGGGUUUUCUAACUCGUCUGACGGUACCAGAUGAAUAAGCACCGGCUAACUCCGUGCCAGCAGCCGCGGUAAUACGGAGGGUGCAAGCGUUAUCCGGAUUCACUGGGUUUAAAGGGUGCGCAGGCGGGCAUUUAAGUCAGUGGUGAAAUACCUGAGCUUAACUUGGGAACUGCCAUUGAUACUAUUUGUCUUGAAUGCCGUGGAGGUUAGCGGAAUAUGUCAUGUAGCGGUGAAAUGCUUAGAUAUGACAUAGAACACCUAUUGCGAAGGCAGCUAACUACGCGAAUAUUGACGCUGAGGCACGAAAGCGUGGGGAUCAAACAGGAUUAGAUACCCUGGUAGUCCACGCCCUAAACGAUGAUUACUCGACAUUAGCGAUACACUGUUAGUGUCUGAGCG